CUUAGUACGGCGAGUGAAGCGGUAAAAGCUCAAAUUUGAAAUCUGGUACUUUCAGUGCCCGAGUUGUAAUUUGUAGAAUUUGUCUUUGAUUAGGUCCUUGUCUAUGUUCCUUGGAACAGGACGUCAUAGAGGGUGAGAAUCCCGUUUGGCGAGGAUACCUUUUCUCUGUAAGACUUUUUCGAAGAGUCGAGUUGUUUGGGAAUGCAGCUCAAAGUGGGUGGUAAAUUCCAUCUAAAGCUAAAUAUUGGCGAGAGACCGAUAGCGAACAAGUACAGUGAUGGAAAGAUGAAAAGAACUUUGAAAAGAGAGUGAAAAAGUACGUGAAAUUGUUGAAAGGGAAGGGCAUUUGAUCAGACAUGGUGUUUUUUGCAUGCACUCGCCUCUCGUGGGCUUGGGCCUCUCAAAAAUUUCACUGGGCCAACAUCAAUUCUGGCAGCAGGAUAAAUCAUUAAGAAUGUAGCUACUUCGGUAGUGUUAUAGCUUUUUGGAAUACUGUUAGCCGGGAUUGAGGACUGCGCUUCGGCAAGGAUGUUGGCAUAAUGGUUAAAUGCCGCCCGUCUUGAAACCACGGACCA
RNAcentral lists this ribosomal RNA (575 nucleotides) under Hanseniaspora uvarum. Its description in RNAcentral is "eukaryotic LSU rRNA". It matches the Rfam family "Eukaryotic large subunit ribosomal RNA", at positions 79 to 668 of the family's 3401-position model. Lineage: Eukaryota; Fungi; Ascomycota; Saccharomycetes; Saccharomycodales; Saccharomycodaceae. The record is from RNAcentral.